Long non-coding RNA from Etheostoma spectabile (orangethroat darter), 258 nucleotides. RefSeq lists it as uncharacterized. Lineage: Eukaryota; Metazoa; Chordata; Actinopteri; Perciformes; Percidae. The record is from RefSeq and is a predicted model, not a curated record. The transcript is spliced from 3 exons.
ACUUAGCUCAGAGAAAAACGAGAUUGGCAUCACCAUGCAAUAGUUAAGCGUUUGCAGAGUAUUAUCAGGUGUUCAUUCAUGAAUUUUUUUUUACUAGAGCACAUUGGCAAAUAUAUAACUCUCUUCGCAAACUCCAGAAAGUGGUGGAAAGGGUCAAUAAUAAAUUAUGAUCUCCUUGAAAUCAGCUGCAAUGAGUGAUUUUCAUGAGGGAAAAUGGAUGAACGUGUGACUAAAAAAGUCUUGGUGUUUUCUGGUUGA